RNAcentral lists this ribosomal RNA (117 nucleotides) under Paramormyrops kingsleyae. The record is from RNAcentral. Lineage: Eukaryota; Metazoa; Chordata; Actinopteri; Osteoglossiformes; Mormyridae.
GGCAGCAGCCAGACCACCUGCAGUUCACACUAGGUAAUCCACCUGAAGCUAAGCAGGUUUGGGCCUGGCCAGUUCUUGGACAUGAGACCAUCUAGGAAAGUUGGGUUGCUGCUGGAA